GUGGGGAAUAUUGGACAAUGGGCGAAAGCCUGAUCCAGCCAUGCCGCGUGUGUGAAGAAGGUCUUCGGAUUGUAAAGCACUUUAAGUUGGGAGGAAGGGCAGUAAGUUAAUACCUUGCUGUUUUGACGUUACCAACAGAAUAAGCACCGGCUAACUUCGUGCCAGCAGCCGCGGUAAUACGAAGGGUGCAAGCGUUAAUCGGAAUUACUGGGCGUAAAGCGCGCGUAGGUGGUUCAGCAAGUUGGAGGUGAAAUCCCCGGGCUCAACCUGGGAACUGCCUCCAAAACUGCAUGACUAGAGUACGGUAGAGGGUAGUGGAAUUUCCUGUGUAGCGGUGAAAUGCGUAGAUAUAGGAAGGAACACCAGUGGCGAAGGCGACUACCUGGACUGAUACUGACACUGAGGUGCGAAAGCGUGGGGAGCAAACAGGAUUAGAUACCCCUGUAGUCC
RNAcentral lists this ribosomal RNA (450 nucleotides) under uncultured bacterium. RNAcentral describes it as "partial 16S ribosomal RNA". It matches the Rfam family "Bacterial small subunit ribosomal RNA", at positions 354 to 796 of the family's 1533-position model. The record is from RNAcentral.